Molecule: RNA transcript, 2535 nt
Organism: Dromiciops gliroides (monito del monte)
Lineage: Eukaryota; Metazoa; Chordata; Mammalia; Microbiotheria; Microbiotheriidae
Gene: MEIS3
Gene name: Meis homeobox 3
Exons: 13
Source: RefSeq, a predicted model, not a curated record
GCCCUGGCCCCUCUGGCUUCAGCUCUGGCCCCUCCAGCAGCCGGCGGACAGUGGGUUAAGGAUUGGGUGAUGUGGGAACUUCCGGAUAUGAUCACAGAGAGAAAGAGGAGGGAGACAGAGGGAGACAGAGAGAGACACACACACACAGAGGCAGACAGCUGAGCAUCCACUCAGCUGCUUACCAGCCCCCACACCAGGGACCCAGGGGCCCGGCCCAGCCCAGCCCCUUGCCAGUGGGGCCAGGUCUCCCCACAUCGGUCCCUUCCUCUCAGCUUUCUUCCCUCUCUCCCUCCCUCUCUCCCUCUCUGAUCUCUGUCUUUCUUUCUUUCUUUCAUUCUUUCUGUCUCUCCCUGAAUCUUUCUCUCUCUUUCACUGCCUCUUACUGGAUUCACUGAGACUCCAGUUCUGGGGUACUGAGGGGUGGCUGGGGCUCAGGGGAGCCUUCUCUCCCCCAUCCUGGGGUCCAGAUCCACCCCCCCAACUCUCUCCCCCAGCCUGGGAUGCUACUGGGGCCAGGGCACUGACCCCUGGGGGCUGGGCAGGAGGCUGUGCUCUGGGGUGCUCAUGACAGAACACUACGCCCACCACUGAGCAGAAAGAGGGGGCCCUGGGCUGUGGGGGGAACCUGGGGGGCAACCGUGUCCCCACUCACCCUCCACAGCCCAGCCCCCAGGCCCGGAUCUGGCGAGGGAUAGACAUUGGAGCUGCCUGACGUGGGCCCCAAUUCUGGGGGCCCAUGGCACAGAGAUACGAUGAGCUGCCUCAGUAUCCCGGCGUGGACAGCGCAAGCCUGGCCAACUUCUCGGAAGCCGCGCCCCGGGGGAGCGGUCGGCCAGCCGUGCUACCCCAGGCCCCCUACGGCCCCGCGCCGCCCCCGGGGCCGGCCCGGGGCCGGGCAAGAGGAGGAGACGGACUGAAGAGCGAGAAAGACGAGAUCUAUGGGCACCCGCUCUUCCCGCUCCUGGCCCUGGUGUUUGAGAAGUGCGAGCUAGCCACGUGCUCCCCUAGGGACGGGGCGGGCCCGGGGCCCGGGGGCAGCCCCGGCUUGGGACCCGGGGGCGACGUCUGCUCCUCCGACUCCUUCAACGAGGACAUCACCGCCUUCGCCAAGCAGGUCCGCAUGGAGAGACCUCUGUUCUCCUCUAACCCCGAGCUGGACAACCUGAUGAUCCAGGCCAUCCAGGUGCUACGAUUUCAUCUGCUGGAGCUGGAGAAGGUACACGACCUGUGUGACAACUUCUGCCAUCGGUAUAUCACCUGCCUCAAGGGGAAGAUGCCCAUCGACCUGGUCAUUGAGGACAGAGACCGAGAUGGUGAUGAGUCCAUCAUCCCCUGCAAGGCUGACCCGGAUGACUUCCCAACCCCUGGCCCUGGCCUCCCCCACCAGAACAACUCCUGGGUUCGGGACCACAGCGAUAGCGGAUCUGUGCACCUGGGGACACCAGGCCCAUCCAGUGGGGGCAUGGCCUCCCAGAGCGGGGACAACUCCAGUGAGCAGGGAGAUGGACUGGAGACCAGAGCAGCCUCCCCCAGCUCAGGGCCAGAGGAUGAUGAACCCGACCAGGACCAGAGGCAGAGUAAAAAGCGGGGAAUCUUCCCCAAGGUGGCCACCAACAUCAUGAGAGCCUGGCUUUUCCAGCACCUGGCGCACCCCUACCCCUCUGAGGAGCAAAAGAAGCAGCUGGCCCAGGACACGGGGCUCACCAUCCUACAGGUCAACAACUGGUUCAUCAAUGCCAGGAGGCGGAUUGUGCAGCCUAUGAUUGACCAGUCCAACAGGGCAGGCCCUGGCACAGCCUACAGCCCUGAGCAUGGCCCAGCCUUGGGGGCCUUUGGCCCAGACCAGAGUCCAGGCCCUGGACCCCCCAUGAGGACCACCGGGGCCCCACACCUCCUUAAAGGGGGCAGGUUUGGGGGAGGGCCUCCUUCCCCCAUCUCUCCUCCCCAGGGUCCAUGGGCAUGAGCGUGAGCCUGGACAGGCAGUGGCAUUACAUGUAGGAGCACCUGCAGCCUCACCCACUGAUGGACUCCUUCUCCGUGGAUGUGGAGGGUCCUGUGAGCUGAGCCCCCCACACACACCUGGGGCUCCCAGCCAGGGCCCUGCCUGGUGUGGCCGGGCCUGAUGCCCUCCCACCUCAACGCCUACCUCCCCGGGCUCCCCCGGGCUUCUGGGCUGGGACUCGCUGCACACUGAGCUAUCCAUCCCUCAAUGAUGAUAUUGAGAAGACACCCGCUCCAUCCACAGGCUCCUCAAAGACUCUGGACCCCUUCCCUGCUUCUCCCUGAGCCCCAGGUCCCCUUGUGCCCCACCCUGGGGGGCAGGAGCUUUGCCUGGUACCAAGGCCAAAGGGUGGGGGGGAAGUUCAGAGGAGCUGGGGAAGACCGACCAGGCCUCUUUCCUCCAGGCCUGGGCAAGAAAGGUCUGGGGACACAGACAGGGCAGGGCGCCCCCGGGGUUUCCCUGUCUUCCCGGUUCUGCCCCUACUUUCUUAGGCUGUCACUGUCUCUUUCUCAGUCUUUUUAAAAAAAUGAUAA